RNAcentral lists this ribosomal RNA (422 nucleotides) under uncultured bacterium. RNAcentral describes it as "bacterial SSU rRNA". It matches the Rfam family "Bacterial small subunit ribosomal RNA", at positions 355 to 774 of the family's 1533-position model. The record is from RNAcentral.
UAAGGAAUAUUGGUCAAUGGACGCAAGUCUGAUCCAGCCAUGCCGCGUGCAGGAAGACGGCCCUAUGGGUUGUAAACUGCUUUUGUACCAGAGAAAACCUAUCUACGUGUAGAUAGCUGAUAGUAUGGUAAGAAUAAGCAUCGGCUAACUUCGUGCCAGCAGCCGCGGUAAGACGAAGGGUGCAAGCGUUAUCCGGAUUCAUUGGGUUUAAAGGGGGCGUAGGCGGGCUGGUAAGUCAGUGGUGAAAUCUCUCAGCUUAACUGAGAAACUGCCAUUGAUACUGCAGGCCUAGAGUAUAGAUGACGUUGGCGGAAUAUGACAUGUAGUGGUGAAAUACGUAGAUAGGUCAUAGAACACCGAUUGCGAAGGCAGCUAACGAAACUAUAACUGACGCUGAGGCACGAAAGUGCGGGGAUCAAAAA